RNAcentral lists this ribosomal RNA (403 nucleotides) under bacterium. RNAcentral's name for it is "partial 16S ribosomal RNA". It matches the Rfam family "Bacterial small subunit ribosomal RNA", at positions 355 to 776 of the family's 1533-position model. The record is from RNAcentral.
UGGGGAAUAUUGCACAAUGGGGGAAACCCUGAUGCAGCGACGCCGCGUGAACGAAGAAGGUAUUCGUAUCGUAAAGUUCUGUCCUAUGGGAAGAUAAUGACAGUACCAUAGAAGAAAGCUCCGGCUAAAUACGUGCCAGCAGCCGCGGUAAUACGUAUGGAGCGAGCGUUGUCCGGAAUUAUUGGGCGUAAAGGGUACGCAGGCGGUUUAAUAAGUCGAAUGUUAAAGAUCGGGGCUCAACCCCGCAAAGCAUUGGAAACUGAUAAACUUGAGUAGUGGAGAGGAAAGUGGAAUUCCUAGUGUAGUGGUGAAAUACGUAGAUAUUAGGAAGAAUACCAGUAGCGAAGGCGACUUUCUGGACACAAACUGACGCUGAGGUACGAAAGCGUGGGGAGCAAACAGG